This 1057-nucleotide long non-coding RNA is filed under the name Gossypium barbadense (sea-island cotton). Its description in RNAcentral is "long non-coding RNA (GBAR_LNC009035)". The record is from RNAcentral. Lineage: Eukaryota; Viridiplantae; Streptophyta; Magnoliopsida; Malvales; Malvaceae.
GUUGAGGGGUUCCUUGCUGGUAAAGCACCCAUGAAGCCAUUCCCUGGUGACAAACCAUCUAAGGGUAAUGAAAAGGGAGCACCUCAUGAACCUAAACCUCCUCAUAGACACUUAUUGAGUGUGGAAGUUGAGGGCACACAUAAACCUCCACAACACUCAGGUGGUAAACCUCCACGACAUUCAGGGGGUAAACCUCCACAUGUUGAAGGAUUCCCUGGUGACAAACCAUCCAAGGGUAAGGGAAAGGGGGCACCUCAUGAACCCAAACCUCCUCACAGACACCUAUUGAGUGUGGAAGUUGAGGGCACACAUAAACCUCCACAACAAUCAGGUGGUAAACCUCCACGACAUUCAGGGGGUAAACCUCCACAUGUUGAAGGAUUCCCUGGUGACAAACCAUCCAAGGGUAAGGGAAAGGGAGCACCUCAUGAACCCAAACCUCCUCAUAGACACCUAUUGAAUGUCGAAGUUGAGGACACACAUAAGCCUCCACAACACUCAGGGGGUAAACCUCCACAUGUUGAAGGAUUCCCCGACGGUAAGCCACCCAUGAAACCAUUCCCCGGUGACAAACCAUCCAAGGGUAAGGGAAAGGGAGUACCUCAUGAACCUAAACCUCCUCAUAGACACCUCUUAAGUGAGCCACACAAAUAUGUGAUACCACCCAAAGGUAAGGGAGAGAAGCCUCCCCAUGAGCAGAAACCACACCAUGGACACCACCCAGGGCACCAUCUGGGAAUAGAAAAUUAAAGCAUAAAUCAUCCUAAGGUUCCCAUCAACCUACAGUUAGAAGAUCAUCAUCAGCGUGUAUGGUAGGACUAUUUUACUAUAGGAAUAACAGUUGAUGUUGAUUUAUCCUUUUAUUAGUUGUGUAGCUAUCUAGUUACGUAUAUUUUGUUCCUGGCUUGGAGGUUGUGCCGUGCCUACCUCAUGACUAUGUUGUUUUAGAAAUUCCAGCCUCAUCUAUGGUUCGACAUUUUAUGAUAUGAACUCUAUAUAUUAACUAGUUUGGGAUCUUUUGCUUUCUAAGUUUAUUUCACCUAUUGAACUAUCUAAC